UGAGUGGUGUCCGGUAUCUGUGUUGUGUA
This 29-nucleotide non-coding RNA is filed under the name Mus musculus (house mouse). The record is from RNAcentral. Lineage: Eukaryota; Metazoa; Chordata; Mammalia; Rodentia; Muridae.